Molecule: ribosomal RNA, 465 nt
Filed under: Vreelandella stevensii
Lineage: Bacteria; Pseudomonadati; Pseudomonadota; Gammaproteobacteria; Oceanospirillales; Halomonadaceae
Description: partial 16S ribosomal RNA
Rfam family: Bacterial small subunit ribosomal RNA
Source: RNAcentral
CCUACGGGUGGCUGCAGUGGGGAAUAUUGGACAAUGGGCGAAAGCCUGAUCCAGCCAUGCCGCGUGUGUGAAGAAGGCCUUCGGGUUGUAAAGCACUUUCAGUGGGGAAGAAAGCCUUGGGGCUAAUACCCUCGAGGAAGGACAUCACCCACAGAAGAAGCACCGGCUAACUCCGUGCCAGCAGCCGCGGUAAUACGGAGGGUGCGAGCGUUAAUCGGAACUACUGGGCGUAAAGCGCGCGUAGGCGGUCUGAUAAGCCGGUUGUGAAAGCCCCGGGCUCAACCUGGGAACGGCAUCCGGAACUGUCAGGCUAGAGUGCAGGAGAGGAAGGUAGAAUUCCCGGUGUAGCGGUGAAAUGCGUAGAGAUCGGGAGGAAUACCAGUGGCGAAGGCGGCCUUCUGGACUGACACUGACGCUGAGGUGCGAAAGCGUGGGUAGCAAACAGGAUUAGAUACCCGGGUAGUC